This 599-nucleotide long non-coding RNA is filed under the name Linum usitatissimum (flax). RNAcentral's name for it is "long non-coding RNA (LUSI_LNC004147)". Lineage: Eukaryota; Viridiplantae; Streptophyta; Magnoliopsida; Malpighiales; Linaceae. The record is from RNAcentral.
CCUGGUAUCCGGAGUAGGAGCAGUAGAAAGGGCAGACAAAGCGUUUCAGCCCUUUGCUAUAAGGUCCUCUGUACUUAUCAGCAAAUUGGAACACCUGGUAAAAAAAACAAGAUUCACCAUACAUUAGAUCAAAUGCUGGUUUCAAAGUUGGAUGAUGAUGGGAUUCAAUGUUUGCAUUUACAUACCGUGAUAGCCCUUUUGAGCAGGAGCCUGGAGUAAGAAGGGUCACACCUCCUGAAAACCAAAGAAGCAGCAGCAAGUGCAGCAGCGGUUUCGCCAGCAACAUCGGAACCAGGUGAGUUCUUGUCUACUUUGAAUACACUUCUAGGAGUAUCCAUGUCCUCUGGUCUCUCCCAGCAAGCAUGGUCCUUUGUCGCAUCACCAACCUAAAAGAUAAAGAAUCCUCAUUUCUUUGUUACCUUUGAAUUCUUUUUGUGAACACAGAUGAAAAUGUGGGUUUGUAUACGUACCUGAACAUAGAUGGUGUCUGGAUGUGCAGUAGCUUUGAGAAGGUAAUCAGUAGCCCAACGGAUAGCUUCUCUAGCAUUUGAAAGCUCACCUUUCAUCAACCCACCAAACUCAAGCACACUCCAUGACAG